RNAcentral lists this ribosomal RNA (612 nucleotides) under Priestia flexa. Its description in RNAcentral is "bacterial SSU rRNA". It matches the Rfam family "Bacterial small subunit ribosomal RNA", at positions 56 to 649 of the family's 1533-position model. The record is from RNAcentral. Lineage: Bacteria; Bacillati; Bacillota; Bacilli; Caryophanales; Bacillaceae.
UGCAAGUCGAGCGAACUGAUUAGAAGCUUGCUUCUAUGACGUUAGCGGCGGACGGGUGAGUAACACGUGGGCAACCUGCCUGUAAGACUGGGAUAACUCCGGGAAACCGGAGCUAAUACCGGAUAACAUUUUNUCUUGCAUAAGAGAAAAUUGAAAGAUGGUUUCGGCUAUCACUUACAGAUGGGCCCGCGGUGCAUUAGCUAGUUGGUGAGGUAACGGCUCACCAAGGCAACGAUGCAUAGCCGACCUGAGAGGGUGAUCGGCCACACUGGGACUGAGACACGGCCCAGACUCCUACGGGAGGCAGCAGUAGGGAAUCUUCCGCAAUGGACGAAAGUCUGACGGAGCAACGCCGCGUGAGUGAUGAAGGCUUUCGGGUCGUAAAACUCUGUUGUUAGGGAAGAACAAGUACAAGAGUAACUGCUUGUACCUUGACGGUACCUAACCAGAAAGCCACGGCUAACUACGUGCCAGCAGCCGCGGUAAUACGUAGGUGGCAAGCGUUAUCCGGAAUUAUUGGGCGUAAAGCGCGCGCAGGCGGUUUCUUAAGUCUGAUGUGAAAGCCCACGGCUCAACCGUGGAGGGUCAUUGGAAACUGGGGAACUUGAGUGC